AAUCUUCCGUCGGGAUUUA
Molecule: microRNA, 19 nt
Filed under: Ananas comosus (pineapple)
Lineage: Eukaryota; Viridiplantae; Streptophyta; Magnoliopsida; Poales; Bromeliaceae
Description: microRNA s0329_c10a
Source: RNAcentral